Molecule: ribosomal RNA, 465 nt
Filed under: uncultured bacterium
Lineage: Bacteria
Description: partial 16S ribosomal RNA
Rfam family: Bacterial small subunit ribosomal RNA
Source: RNAcentral
CCUACGGGUGGCAGCAGUGGGGAAUAUUGCGCAAUGGGCGAAAGCCUGACGCAGCGACGCCGCGUGAGGGAUGAAGGUCUUCGGAUCGUAAACCGCUGUCAGCAGGGAAGAAAGGUCACUGUGCUAAUCAGCAGUGAAUUGACGGUACCUGCAAAGGAAGCACCGGCUAACUCCGUGCCAGCAGCCGCGGUAAUACGGAGGGUGCGAGCGGUACACGGAAUUACGGGGCGUAAAGCGCUCGUAGGCGGUAUGUCAAGUCAAGGGUGAAAUCCCCGCGCUCAACGUGGGAACUGCCUUUGAAACUGGCAAACUGGAGUGUGUGAGAGGAUAGAGGAAUUCCAGGUGUAGGAGUGAAAUCCGUAGAUAUCUGGAGGAACAUCAGUGGCGAAGGCGACUAUCUGGCACAUAACUGACGCUGAGGAGCGAAAGCGUGGGUAGCAAACAGGAUUAGAUACCCUGGUAGUC